GGUAGGGCCUCCGGACCUGGUGGCCGGCUUGGUCUUCAAAACCAAUGAGGGGCUGCGAAAGCAGUCCCUGGCGAGUUCGAUUCCCGUGCCCUACCGCCA
RNAcentral lists this transfer RNA (99 nucleotides) under Myxococcaceae bacterium. RNAcentral describes it as "tRNA-Sec". It matches the Rfam family "Selenocysteine transfer RNA". The record is from RNAcentral. Lineage: Bacteria; Pseudomonadati; Myxococcota; Myxococcia; Myxococcales; Myxococcaceae.